CUGGUUUCGACGGGUUAUUAGAAGUAAUGUAAGCAUGUCGUGGUUGUGCACGUUAAAACACCGAGGUUUUUAAAUAAACGCAAACACAAAUUACGCUUUCUGCUAAGCUUAUAACAGCAGGCCCUCGUUAAAUGAGGUUUAUCUCUUAUAGUACUUGUCUACGUGUGCUUUAAGGGAAAGAGAGUAGACUUUGAAAGAAUAUUGUGGUCGCAGGUAUUUUUUCGAGAAUUAGGGACUAGUGAUAAUUAAUUUUGUUUAUUUAAUUAAUUAUUAUGAAACUAAACAUGUAGAAAACAGAAUGGAUGAUAAUUCGGACCCGAGUUCGAGUCUCGGCUAGUCCACCA
This 344-nucleotide transfer-messenger RNA is filed under the name pig gut metagenome. It matches the Rfam family "transfer-messenger RNA". Rfam says of the family: Bacterial tmRNA, also known as 10Sa RNA or SsrA, is named for its dual tRNA and mRNA-like properties. Its role is to liberate the mRNA from a stalled ribosome. The record is from RNAcentral.